GAACGCAUCUGCCUCCUCUCCUCGACCCUGGCGUGUGCCCAGGCCAGAGCGAUUCCCCCAAGCCGCCGACACACCUCAACCCACUCGCCGCCGACGCCGCCGCACCUCAGCCGGCUGGCCGCCCCGCCGCACCAACCUUACCACCUCCGUCUCCUUCCACGACUGGCUCGACACCGCCCCCUCCAAUGGAUGCGGUCCCCGGCCCUCAUCGAUUUAGACUUCACCCCUUCCUCUAGAUGCCCAAGGUGAAGCCGACCCCGACCCCGAUGCCUCUGCCUCGAAGUCUACCCCCGGACCCUCUCCCGGCGAGAUCAAGUGUAGCGUUGUGCAGGAAUUCGGCUGCGGAUCUGAGCAUUAAGAGCCGCUGCCAGGCCACCCCGCGUGCCGCUGAUCCCGUGUGUCGUCGCUCGAAGCUCCCCUACUCGCUUCCCUUCAUGCACCGCUGUACUGGCCUAGCAAAUUAACAUAGGCGGUGUGUUGCAGCGCAAGCACCUCAUGGUGCACCUGCCCUCUCCUUUGACGCAUGGAUAGUUGCGAGCUUGUGACUGCGAUGAGUAGUGCUGAGGACUUAGUUUGGGCGGGCUCCUCGAGAAUACCCGUCUUGCGAAGGCGCGAGAUCAAGCGACGGAGGGCUGAGGCCCGCCGGGAGCUGACGGUGGAGUUGAGUAUCCACUCAUCAAUUCCCGAUGUGCUCAAGUGAAGUCAAAGAUACGAUCCAUCCAUCCCACAGUGGAUGAAUCAACAGAGGAUACAACCGCUCCAACGAGUUAAUUUAGGAUUGAUUAAUUAGCAUGAGCAGAGGAAAUCUUGUGCACAUGUAGUUUAGGUAUAUACAGGUUCAAGUAGUCAACUCUUAAUUCACCCAAACGUUAAGUUUGUUAUCCACAGUUUCUUCUGAAGUUAAGCAUCAGUGGCAUCACAAGUGAGCUUUCUCAUUUAAUCCAAAAGACCCAUCAAGUUGUAAGAUAACAACUGUGAACAUGACAUAUCUGAAAGCAGAUGACAACA
Molecule: long non-coding RNA, 1008 nt
Organism: Hordeum vulgare subsp. vulgare (domesticated barley)
Lineage: Eukaryota; Viridiplantae; Streptophyta; Magnoliopsida; Poales; Poaceae
Exons: 2
Source: RefSeq, a predicted model, not a curated record